RNAcentral lists this small nuclear RNA (163 nucleotides) under Mus spicilegus (steppe mouse). RNAcentral describes it as "U1 spliceosomal RNA (ENSMSIG00000010521.1)". It matches the Rfam family "U1 spliceosomal RNA". From Rfam's summary of the family: U1 is a small nuclear RNA (snRNA) component of the spliceosome (involved in pre-mRNA splicing). Lineage: Eukaryota; Metazoa; Chordata; Mammalia; Rodentia; Muridae. The record is from RNAcentral.
AUAUUUCCCUGCCAGGAGAGAUGCCGUGGUCAUGCUGAUGAUCUCAGGAUGAAGGAGGCUAGUUUAUUGCACUCUGGAUGUGCAGACCCUUGUGACUCCCCAGAGUGGAGGAAACCUGAUAUGCAAUUUGUGGUAGUGGGGGGAUUGUGUUUAUGUGCCCCUG